This is an RNA transcript of Anguilla rostrata (American eel), 3048 nucleotides long. It is a transcript of the gene named zinc finger protein 414, with no coding region annotated. The record is from RefSeq and is a predicted model, not a curated record. The transcript is spliced from 8 exons. Lineage: Eukaryota; Metazoa; Chordata; Actinopteri; Anguilliformes; Anguillidae.
UGGUCCUCUUCUCGCGAUAAUAUAGAUCCAAAAUGGUGAACUCGUGAAGUGCCAGUGUCUCAAACGCUACUUUCCUCGUUGUCUUCAAAUAAUAUAUUUUAUUGGUUAAUGUACAAUUAUAUACCAGUCUUUCGUGAAGGCUCGUUGUAAAUAGUCUAUGUCUGAACUACAGAGACUGCUGUCCACCGGAUCUCCCCUGCCUGUUGACAGCAGUGUGGCAGGGAUGUCUGCCGGAAUCGCCGAAUGUAAUCCGACCCCACAACCGCAAGCAUCUACCAACACGCAAGGAACCAUUUUGCCCUGUUCAUUCCGUGGCUGCAAGCAGACCUUCUCAAACAUGCAGCAGCUGUCCAGCCACGUGGAGAGCCACAAGAUCCCCACGCAGUCCCUUCCAGGGAAGGCAUUUCGUUGCUCAGCCCUGGGCUGCAGUGGUACUUUUCCCAGCAUGCAACACCUGAUGGAGCACAUGAGGCACCACUACAAGCCUAACCAUUAUUUCCUGUGCGAGAGCUGCAGAGCCAAGCUGCGGUCUUACCGCGCUCUCUUCAAACACCUCCACACUUGCGCCAAGGUGGCCAAGAGCAAGGCUGCCCGGGAGGAAAUUACAUCUCCCGGCGCCAUGACGAUGACGGAAACGGCCGAGACCGCUCUCGCGUACGAAGCCGCGGCUCCUGCCGGUACUUCCGCCAGCAUCCAGACCCCCAUGAAGGAAGAGCCCAUGGAGUUAGAGCCCGCCCCCACAGCCGCCGAGUCCGGCACCUCCGACCGUGCUCCGCCCCUCGCAAGCCUCCAGGCUACCGUCAACAGGCUUCCCCAGGAAGCCCCGCUAGCUCCGCCCACCCCCGUCUCCCCUACCUCCCCCCCGGCCCCUGCCACUCCUCCUGCCCUGCCCCCCGGCCCCUUCUCUCUCAUGGAGACCGCGGCGUUCGCCGCGGAGCCCCUGCAGCCCGGACCGCCCCCCGGCUCCAUCAUCCCUUCCGCCACGCCCCCCUCCCCCCUGCCUUACUCUCCCCUUGCGUCCUCCUCUCCUCCCACCCCAGCCGCCCCCGGGCAGCGCCCGGGCCGACCCGUCGCCCCUGCCUCCCCAGCUCCACCCACCCCGCCGGGCUCGAACGCUGUCUGGAAGAAGAACCAAGACGCGCCCGGGCCCCUAUUGCUCAGAAGGAACAGUCAUCCCAGCAGUCAGAGUAUAAGUGCAGGUGAAGUCCAGGGCAAUCUUUCAGCAGCCGCAUUCUCUGGGAGCACACCAGAGGGCGCUACAGCUGCCUACAGUGUGGCCACUCCACCCCCACUCGGCAGGAGAUGACCGCCCACAUUGAGGGCCAGCACAGGAGCCCGGCUGGGCGGGCACAGACUGACCCGGAUAACAGAGGUUCUCCUCCAUUCCAACCAAAGAUAUCAUUGGAAACAGAGACUGCUGUCUAUACCCAGCUCUGAUUGAAUUUGUCCACUGGGCAAAAUUUUCAAUCUGACCUGUUGUAAAUGUCUGGGAAGGUAGAAUGGCUAAUGUGAAUGUUGAUGGGUUUAAUCUCUCUUAGAAAUCCCUUGAAAGGCAACAUUGAUCAAUGUUUCUCAUGCAGGAAAUUCACAAAUGUCUCUUCUGUGUAUUCACAAGCUUCUAUAUUACUGGCUUUUAGCGAAUGCUAUUAUCCAGAGCGAUUUACACAGCUUUGGCAUUUUGUCUCAGUAUCCAUUUAAUAUAGCUUGGUAUAUACUGAAGAAAUUCAGGUUGAGUACCUUGGUCCAGGGUACAACGGCUGAAUGCUAAAUGAGAGUCAAACCUGCAACCUUCAGGUUACAUGCCUGGCUGUACUCCUUAUAUCCAUCACAUUUUUAUUCUAUGCCAUUUUGAAGCAACUGGGAAUAUUUCAAAAAUACGGCACAAGUCUGCUCAGCUGAAGGUCAUGGACCGAAACGUCGACAGCAGUACAAUUGGGAAGAAACUAUGUGGGAGCAUUUCUUCAUUCCGUUAUACUGUAUACUUUUCUCUCUGAGCACCCCUGAGUGCAUAAAACACAGUCUGAUGAUAUUUUAAGGGAACCUGCACUGGGGACAAACAAAAUAAGAAUGCAGAGAACGGUAAAUGAAGAAUACCUUACUUAGAUCCUGUUUCAAAAUUGCAUACUUGUGUCACCUAUAUUUAAAAAGUGAGAUGCCUUUGUUGAACACAGUGGAGCAGUGCUGUUGGAUUUCAGGCACCCUGGCUUCAAAGUCUCUCUUUUUGAAGCGGACCAUCUCAGUAUUGAGGGGUCUUGAAAUUUGGUACAUACCUGGUGGUGGAAAGCAAGAAACAAGUCAUCCAAAGUAGCUUGUACAGCUGUUUAGGAGCUUCUCAAAGUACAUUGUACAUUCUUGCUUUAGACCACGGACCACCAAAUGCCCUCGUACUUGCUAUUGUAAAGUUGGCAGGCCAUUAGGGACUUCUGUAAGUAUCUAAAAUAUCCUUCACCCAACACAAAAAAAACAUUGGGGCCUGUCAAAAAUACACUAUAACUGAAGUAAUAGCAAAAAAAUCCAGAAAGUGAACUGUCCCUUUAAUUUAGGUUGUAAGAUUAUGCACAUGUAAAGUUGGAGGGAAACCCAAUCUAAAAAAAAUCCAUACUCGUAUAUACACAGUAUAUGUAUGUCUGAUCCUCAACCAUUACAAAACAUUACAAGUUUUGUAUUUUCUACUCAUUUUAAUUUAAAUUAAAUUUUGUAUUGCUGUUUUUGUUUUUAUUGUUUUUAUUUUUAUGGUGGAUAUUUGGUUAAUUUGAGAGUGUAUUGGCCAGUGAGAUCAUAGAUCAUGAGGAUGUGGGGUAAUUCGAAUCACUUGUGUAUUACUACUAGUGUUAGUAUUAAAAUCAAUUGAAUAUGAAUUGCUGAUAUGUAUCACUGUUGAAAUAUCAAAGAUAAAUGAAAGAUGUCAUCAUGUAAAGGAAAUUGUUGAUUGAGCUUUGGGUGCCCCCUACUGUAAUGCAUGCUGACACUUGUGUGUGCCACCACACCUUAAUAAACCCUGAAAAAAAAGACAGUGUAUUAUGUCCCGGGCAAAGGCAUGAGCUCGAU